AUUAGAGAGGCAUAAUGGUAGAGUGUUUGGUUCUGAGUCUAAUAACUUGGAUUUAAAUUCUGUCUCUAAUA
Molecule: transfer RNA, 71 nt
Filed under: Monodelphis domestica (gray short-tailed opossum)
Lineage: Eukaryota; Metazoa; Chordata; Mammalia; Didelphimorphia; Didelphidae
Rfam family: tRNA
About the family: Transfer RNA (tRNA) molecules are approximately 80 nucleotides in length. Their secondary structure includes four short double-helical elements and three loops (D, anti-codon, and T loops). Further hydrogen bonds mediate the characteristic L-shaped molecular structure. tRNAs have two regions of fundamental functional importance: the anti-codon, which is responsible for specific mRNA codon recognition, and the 3' end, to which the tRNAs corresponding amino acid is attached (by aminoacyl-tRNA synthetases). tRNAs cope with the degeneracy of the genetic code in two manners: having more than one tRNA (with a specific anti-codon) for a particular amino acid; and 'wobble' base-pairing, i.e. permitting non-standard base-pairing at the 3rd anti-codon position.
Source: Rfam by way of RNAcentral